Molecule: transfer RNA, 65 nt
Filed under: Lepidurus apus lubbocki
Lineage: Eukaryota; Metazoa; Arthropoda; Branchiopoda; Notostraca; Triopsidae
Description: tRNA-Phe
Rfam family: tRNA
About the family: Transfer RNA (tRNA) molecules are approximately 80 nucleotides in length. Their secondary structure includes four short double-helical elements and three loops (D, anti-codon, and T loops).
Source: RNAcentral
GUUUUUAUAGCUUAUAGAGAGCGUAGCACUGAAGAUGCUAAAGAAAUUUUUUAAAUUUAAAAACA